This 466-nucleotide ribosomal RNA is filed under the name Salmonella enterica subsp. enterica serovar Give. RNAcentral's name for it is "partial 23S ribosomal RNA". It matches the Rfam family "Bacterial large subunit ribosomal RNA", at positions 54 to 559 of the family's 2925-position model. The record is from RNAcentral. Lineage: Bacteria; Pseudomonadati; Pseudomonadota; Gammaproteobacteria; Enterobacterales; Enterobacteriaceae.
GGACGUGCUAAUCUGCGAUAAGCGCCGGUAAGGUGAUAUGAACCGUUAUAACCGGCGAUUUCCGAAUGGGGAAACCCAGUGUGACUCGUCACACUAUCAUUAACUGAAUCCAUAGGUUAAUGAGGCGAACCGGGGGAACUGAAACAUCUAAGUACCCCGAGGAAAAGAAAUCAACCGAGAUUCCCCCAGUAGCGGCGAGCGAACGGGGAGGAGCCCAGAGCCUGAAUCAGCAUGUGUGUUAGUGGAAGCGUCUGGAAAGGCGCGCGAUACAGGGUGACAGCCCCGUACACAAAAGCGCAUGUGCUGUGAGCUCGAUGAGUAGGGCGGGACACGUGGUAUCCUGUCUGAAUAUGGGGGGACCAUCCUCCAAGGCUAAAUACUCCUGACUGACCGAUAGUGAACCAGUACCGUGAGGGAAAGGCGAAAAGAACCCCGGCGAGGGGAGUGAAAAAGAACCUGAAACCGU